This is a long non-coding RNA of Homo sapiens (human), 928 nucleotides long. Lineage: Eukaryota; Metazoa; Chordata; Mammalia; Primates; Hominidae. The record is from Ensembl.
AGACCGCAGCGUCGGCCGAGAGGACGCCGGGAUACUGGCCAGCUCCAAGUCGAAAGGAAGCGACGCAUGAGUUGUUUGGUGCGGUGGGUAGAUACCUCGAGUUUCUCCUCGCCCACCGUAGGCCCCGACCCCUAAAAAGGAAACUUUUGGGACGUCAGAGUGAGAGGAGAAAAGUGUCUUUUUAGUUUAGUUUUGUCAAACCUGAGGAUUCGUUUUUCAGUUUAGCCGGAGCUGUGCCGCAAACGUAGCUGCCGACAUCCCCACGACGCACCCAAGUGGUGGCCCGGAAGCUGGGGAUAGAAAAGUGGCCUCCCCGAAUGCCAGGCACACAGGCCUUACUACCAGAAGCUUGAGCUGGGAGCCUCGGCCGUCGCAUCUCUAAGGUGCAGCGAUACGGCCAACUUCCUUCCGCGAAGCCCUCAGGGUGGGCAACGGAGCUUUUCACCAGACUGAGGGACCGGGCGACCUGGCCGACCGGCGGCUCCUCACCGCCCCCUUGGGGAUUUCUUGAUAAUUCUUUGCCACGAUGCGGGCGGAUGUUGUGGAGCUACUGUUUGUAGAUCGCAGUAGCGUGACAGCACUUAAUCAUGACUACUAAAUCCUCAGAAGUCGAAAAAGCAAGUCCAUACAGAAUAGUUUGACCCUAAUUAAAUUGCGCUUACAAGAUACAGUUUGUUUACUGGGACUUUGGCUAGGUCCCAUCCCGUCUCUGCCUCAGAGUGGUGGUUGCUCUUAGCACCAAGGAAAUACCAGCUUGACAUUUGACUCUAGGAAGCACAGGCCCAAAAGAAGAGGCCCAAGGAGGGACAUUCUUCUUUCCCUUUCCUACCUACAGUUUCUCAAACCAAGUGUCAGAUGGAAAGCAAGGGGUGGUAUCAUCGUAAUUAUACAGUUGACCAUAGAAAAUAAAUUUCAAUCUCAAAGUAAA